GGAGAGGUGGCCGAGUGGCUGAAGGCGCACGCUUGGAAAGCGUGUAAGCGUUAAUCCGCUUCGAGGGUUCGAAUCCCUUCCUCUCCUCCA
This 90-nucleotide transfer RNA is filed under the name Pseudobdellovibrionaceae bacterium. RNAcentral describes it as "Bdellovibrionaceae bacterium (sponge metagenome) tRNA-Ser". It matches the Rfam family "tRNA". Rfam says of the family: Transfer RNA (tRNA) molecules are approximately 80 nucleotides in length. Their secondary structure includes four short double-helical elements and three loops (D, anti-codon, and T loops). The record is from RNAcentral. Lineage: Bacteria; Pseudomonadati; Bdellovibrionota; Bdellovibrionia; Bdellovibrionales; Pseudobdellovibrionaceae.